GCGUUGUCCGGAAUUAUUGGGCGUAAAGCGAACGUAGGCGGUUACUUAAGUUUGGUCUUAAAGACCGGGGCUCAACCCCGGGAAUGGACCGAAGACUGGGUGACUCGAGGAUGUUAGAGGAAAGUGGAAUUCCAGGUGUAGCGGUGAAAUGCGUAGAUAUCUGGAGGAACACCGGUGGCGAAAGCGACUUUCUGGGACAUUUCUGACGCUGAGGUUCGAAAGCUCG
Molecule: ribosomal RNA, 226 nt
Filed under: uncultured bacterium
Lineage: Bacteria
Description: partial 16S ribosomal RNA
Rfam family: Bacterial small subunit ribosomal RNA
Source: RNAcentral